GCUUAACCGGAGAAGUGCAUCGGAAACUGGAUAACUUGAGUGCAGAAGAGGGUAGUGGAACUCCAUGUGUAGCGGUGGAAUGCGUAGAUAUAUGGAAGAACACCAGUGGCGAAGGCGGCUACCUGGUCUGCAACUGGCGCUGAGACUCGAAAGCAUGGGUAGCGAACAGGAUUAGAUACCCUGGUAGUCCAUGCCGUAGACGACGAGUGCUAGGUGUUGGAGGGUUUCCGCCCUUCAGUGCCGGAGCUAACGCAUUAAGCACUCCGCCUGGGGAGUACGACCGCAAGGUUGAAACUCAAAGGAAUUGACGGGGGCCCGCACAAGCGGUGGAGCAUGUGGUUUAAUUCGAAGCUACGCGAAGAACCUUACCAGGUCUUGACAUCUUGCGGGGGGCCUAGAGAUAGGGCGUUUCCUUCGGGAACGCAAUGACAGGUGGUGCAUGGUCGUCGUCAGCUCGUGUCGUGAGAUGUUGGGUUAAGUCCCGCAACGAGCGCAACCCUUGUUACUAGUUGCCAGCAUUAAGUUGGGCACUCUAGUGAGACUGCCGGUGACAAACCGGAGGAAGGUGGGGACGACGUCAGAUCAUCAUGCCCCUUAUGACCUGGGCUACACACGUGCUACAAUGGACGGUACAACG
RNAcentral lists this ribosomal RNA (637 nucleotides) under uncultured bacterium. RNAcentral's name for it is "bacterial SSU rRNA". It matches the Rfam family "Bacterial small subunit ribosomal RNA", at positions 607 to 1244 of the family's 1533-position model. The record is from RNAcentral.